RNAcentral lists this ribosomal RNA (75 nucleotides) under Pseudotaxiphyllum pohliicarpum. RNAcentral describes it as "partial 26S ribosomal RNA". It matches the Rfam family "Eukaryotic large subunit ribosomal RNA", at positions 1 to 74 of the family's 3401-position model. The record is from RNAcentral. Lineage: Eukaryota; Viridiplantae; Streptophyta; Bryopsida; Hypnales; Plagiotheciaceae.
CAGACCUCUAAUCGGAAAAGACCACCCGCUGAGUUUAAGCAUAUCACUAAGCGGAGGAGAAGAAACUAACCAGGA